This 501-nucleotide ribosomal RNA is filed under the name uncultured bacterium. RNAcentral describes it as "partial 16S ribosomal RNA". It matches the Rfam family "Bacterial small subunit ribosomal RNA", at positions 30 to 523 of the family's 1533-position model. The record is from RNAcentral.
AUUGAACGCUGGCGGCAGGCCUAACACAUGCAAGUCGAGCGGGGAAGGUUGCUUCGGUGACUGACCUAGCGGCGGACGGGUGAGUGAUGCUUAGGAAUCUGCCUAUUAGUGGGGGACAACGUUCCGAAAGGAACGCUAAUACCGCAUACGCCCUACGGGGGAAAGCAGGGGAUCUUCGGAACUUGCGCUAAUAGAUGAGCCUAAGUCGGCUUAGCUAGUUGGUGGGGUAAAGGCCUACCAAGGCGACGAUCUGUAGCGGGUCUGAGAGGAUGAUCCGCCACACUGGGACUGAGACACGGCCCAGACUCCUACGGGAGGCAGCAGUGGGGAAUAUUGGACAAUGGGCGCAAGCCUGAUCCAGCCAUGCCGCGUGUGUGAAGAAGGCCUUUUGGUUGUAAAGCACUUUAAGCGAGGAGGAGGCUCCUUUAGUUAAUACCUAAAGUGAGUGGACGUUACUCGCAGAAUAAGCACCGGCUAACUCUGUGCCAGCCGCCGCGGUAA